AUGCAGGAGCUGCACACCACCCUGACGCCGUCCUUCCUCGGCCUCUCGCCGUCCUCCGGGCUGCUCCCGGAGUCCAACGGCGCCAGCGACGUCGUCAUCGGGGUCCUCGACACCGGCGUGUACCCGGAAGGCCGCGCGUCCUUCUCCGCCGACCCGUCGCUGCCGCCGUUGCCGCCCGGCAAGUUCCGCGGCGGGUGCGUCUCGGGACCAUCGUUCAACGGCUCCGCGCUCUGCAACAACAAACUCGUCGGCGCCAAGUUCUUCCACAAGGGGCAGAAAGCUGCGCGCGGCAGUGCGUUCGGUGAGGACUCGGAGUCGCCGCUCGACACCAACGGCCAUGGUACCCACACCUCCUCCACCGCCGGCGGCUCUGCUGUUGCCGACGCAGCCUUCUACGACUAUGCCAGAGGAAAAGCCGUCGGCAUGGCCCCGGGUGCGCGCAUUGCCGUCUACAAAGUGUGCUGGAAAGGGUGCGCGAGCUCUGACAUCCUCGCCGCGUUUGAUGAAGCCAUCGCGGACGGUGUCGACGUUAUCUCUCUCUCCCUCGGCUCCAACGGCAAGGCCCCAGACUUUUACAGCGAUACGACCGCCGUGGGCGCGUUCCGCGCCGUAAGCAAGGGCAUCGUCGUCUCCGCUUCCGCGGGAAACUCGGGCCCCAGAGAGUCCACCGCUGUCAACGUCGCGCCAUGGUUCUUGACGGUCGGCGCGUCCACCCUCAAUCGCCAAUUCCCGGCCGACGUCGUUCUCGGCAACGGCGAGACCUUCACGGGUACUUCUCUCUACGCGGGCGAGCCGCUGAGCGCGACCAAGAAACCAUUGGUCCACGCAGGGGACGUGGGCUCGAAAAUUUGCGAAGAAGGGAAGCUGAACUCCACCAUGGUAGCCGGGAAGAUCGUCUUCUGCGACCCCGGUGUGUACGCCCGGGCUGCGAAAGAACAAGCCGUAAAGCUCGCCGGUGGUGCCGGAGCAAUUUUCGGUAGCCCCGAAGCAUACGGCGAGCAGGCCAUGACUAGCGCCUAUGUCCACCCAGCCACGGCUGUCACAUUUGCCGCUGCCGAGAAGAUCAAGAAGUACAUAAGCGCGCAGACAUCGCCUACCGCGACGAUUGUGUUCCAUGGCACCGUGGUCGGCCCGACGCCUCCUUCCCCUAGAAUGGCGUCCUUUUCGAGCCGCGGCCCCAACACCCGCGCAGUGGAGAUCUUCAAGCCGGACGUGACCAUGCCAGGCGUGGACAUCCUCGCCGCUUGGACGGGGGCUAACUCACCCUCGGAGCUCGCCAGCGACACGAGGCGAGUGAAGUACAACAUCAUAUCGGGCACGUCCAUGUCAUGCCCGCACGUGAGCGGCAUCGCCGCGCUGCUCCGGCAGGCGAGACCGGAGUGGAGCCCCGCCAUGAUCAAGUCUGCCCUGAUGACCACCGCGUACAACAUGGACAACGCUGGCGCCGUCAUCGGCGACAUGUCCACCGGCAAAGCGUCCACGCCAUUCGCACGAGGGGCCGGGCACGUCGACCCCAACCGCGCGGUCGACCCGGGAUUGGUGUACGAUGCCGGCACGGAGGACUACAUCACCUUCCUGUGCGCGCUGGGCUACACGGACAAGCAGAUCGCCGUAUUCAGCUCGUCCACCAACUGCUCUACGCGCGCGGGCUCCUCCGUCGGCGACCACAACUAUCCAGCAUUCUCGGUGGUGUUCACCACGAACAAACUCGCUGUCGUCAGGCAGCGCCGCGUCGUGCGCAACGUCGGCGGCGAUGCCAGGGCUACGUACAGGGCCAAGGUGACUGCCCCCGACGGCGUGCUCGUCACGGUGAGCCCCCGGACGCUGAGGUUCACCGCGACGCAGAAGACGCAAGAGUACGUGGUCACCUUUGCGCAACGAAUCUUCGGGGGCGUCAAGGGGAAUCACACGUUCGGGUCGAUCGAGUGGAGCGACCGCAAGCACACGGUGACGAGCCCCAUCGCCAUCACCUGGCCAGCGAGCAAGGUUGCGGACAUGUGA
This 2001-nucleotide ribosomal RNA is filed under the name Triticum aestivum (bread wheat). RNAcentral's name for it is "partial small subunit ribosomal RNA". The record is from RNAcentral. Lineage: Eukaryota; Viridiplantae; Streptophyta; Magnoliopsida; Poales; Poaceae.